This 400-nucleotide unclassified non-coding RNA is filed under the name Hevea brasiliensis (rubber tree). The record is from RNAcentral. Lineage: Eukaryota; Viridiplantae; Streptophyta; Magnoliopsida; Malpighiales; Euphorbiaceae.
AAGGAUGCAUACCAUCAAUUUUUACUUUCGGUUGAUCAGGUUAAAAUUCAAAAUAAUAUAAGGGAUGAACUUCGCAAAGAAACUCUACAGCUGGCUAGGGAGAAUUUGGACAAGGAGCCACAAAUAAUGGAGCUAAGGAACCAGUGCAGAAUAAUACGGACAACUGGAUUGGCUGCUGCCCAUGAGAAAUUAAAUGAACUGGACAAACAGAAAGAAGAGAUUUUGAGGUCCUGCUCCCUUGUAUCCCUUCUCCAAAGGCUUCAAGAAGGAAUGAAUAAGACAGAAGAGGAAUCUGAAACCCUACACAGACAACUUCUUGACAGGGAGAUAGAAGUAGCAGCUUUUAUUCAGAAAUACAAAAAACUCCGCAUAACCUACCACAGACGAGCACUUAUCCAUC